Telopea speciosissima is the source of this 177-nucleotide long non-coding RNA. RefSeq lists it as uncharacterized. The record is from RefSeq and is a predicted model, not a curated record. The transcript has 3 exons. NCBI's taxonomy places the organism in Eukaryota, Viridiplantae, Streptophyta, Magnoliopsida, Proteales, Proteaceae.
UCUUCCUCUUGUUGGUGGUCUGAUGCCACGUUGACGGUAGUGAAUCAUAAAGAAUGGCAAUGACCGGCAAUGCUAUGAUCGGACCAAUAUCAAGUUUCGUAUGCUGAUAGGAACCUGUGGAUUUCAUUAAUAUCAAUUCAUCCACGGAGCCGAUUUCUGCGAUAACAUUUUUGUUUU